GGUGAACGCUGGCGGCGUGCCUAACACAUGCAAGUCGAUCGGAGCAGCAAUGCUUAGAGGCGAACGGGUGAGGAAAACGUAGUAACCAACCCUUUAGACUGGGAUAGCCACUGGAAACGGUGGGUAAUACCGGAUAAGCUCGAGAGAGGAAAGGCAGAGAAGCGCUAAAGGACGGAACUGCGCCCCAUCAGAUAGUUGGUGAGGUAAAGGCUUACCAAGUCAAAGACGGGAAACCGACGUGAGAGCGUGUACGGUCACAAGGGCACUGAGAGACGGGCCCUACUCCUACGGGAGGCAGCAGUGGGGAAUAUUGGACAAUGGACGAAAGUCUGAUCCAGCGACGCCGCGUGGAGGAAGAAGUCCUUCGGG
This 369-nucleotide ribosomal RNA is filed under the name uncultured bacterium. Its description in RNAcentral is "bacterial SSU rRNA". It matches the Rfam family "Bacterial small subunit ribosomal RNA", at positions 28 to 422 of the family's 1533-position model. The record is from RNAcentral.